Long non-coding RNA from Oncorhynchus tshawytscha (Chinook salmon), 865 nucleotides. NCBI's taxonomy places the organism in Eukaryota, Metazoa, Chordata, Actinopteri, Salmoniformes, Salmonidae. The record is from Ensembl.
AGUGGGUUAACUGCCUUGUUCAGGGACAGAACGACAGAUUUGUACCUUGUCUGCUCAGGGAUUUCGAACUUGCAACCUUUCGGUUACUAGUCCACCGCUCUAACCACUAGGCUACGCUGCCACCCCAGAAUGACAAACAGUUGUUUGAUGUGGCUGUCAAAGGUCAGGGAGGAAUCGAUCUUUACAGCUAGACUGGAAACUGAGGGGGAGAGAGGGAUGUUCUGUCCUGCAACUGUCAGGUGUGUUAUCGGUGAGCUGUGUUAUCGGUGAGGUGCGUUAUUGGUGAGGUAUGUUAUCGGUGAGGUGCGUUAUUGGUGAGGUGUGUUAUCGGUGAGGUGCGUUAUUGGUGAGGUGUGUUAUCGGUGAGUGCUGGACCUGGUGUGUGAUUGGUGAGGUGUGUUAUUGGUGAGGUGUGUUAUUGGUGAGGUGUGUUAUUGGUGAGGUGUGUUAUUGGUGAGUGCUGGACCUGGUGUGUUAUUGGAGAGGUGUGUUAUUGGGGAGUGCUGAACCUGGUGUGUUAUUGGUGAGGUGUGUUAUUGGGGAGUGCUGGACCUGGUGUGUUAUUGGUGAGGUGUGUUAUUGGGGAGUGCUGAACCUGGUGUGUUAUUGGUGAGGUGUGUUAUUGGUGAGGUGUGUUAUUGGGGAGUGCUGGACCUGGUGUGUUAUUGGUGAGGUGUGUUAUUGGGGAGUGCUGAACCUGGUGUGUUAUUGGGGAGGUGUGUUAUUGGGGAGUGCUGGACCUGGUGUGUUAUUGGGGAGUGCUGGACCUGGUGUGUUAUUGGGGGUUGCUGGACCUGGUGUGGGGAGCCAACAAGUAGGUCCUCUGUGUUGCUGCAAGACAAGGCCCAGUUUCAUUCACACCCGC